Molecule: transfer RNA, 92 nt
Filed under: Candidatus Gygaella obscura
Lineage: Bacteria; Pseudomonadati; Candidatus Omnitrophota
Description: tRNA-Ser
Rfam family: tRNA
About the family: Transfer RNA (tRNA) molecules are approximately 80 nucleotides in length. Their secondary structure includes four short double-helical elements and three loops (D, anti-codon, and T loops).
Source: RNAcentral
GGAGAGGUGGCUGAGUGGCCGAAAGCAGUUGCCUGCUAAGCAAUUGGUCCGGGUAACUGGACCCCUGGGUUCGAAUCCCAGCCUCUCCGCCA